This 243-nucleotide ribosomal RNA is filed under the name uncultured bacterium. RNAcentral describes it as "partial 16S ribosomal RNA". It matches the Rfam family "Bacterial small subunit ribosomal RNA", at positions 1243 to 1500 of the family's 1533-position model. The record is from RNAcentral.
UGCGAAGCGAAGCAGUGAUGUGAAGCAAAUCGCACCAAAGCCAGUCCCAGUUCGGAUAAGAGGCUGAAACUCGCCUCUUUGAAGUCGGAAUCGCUAGUAAUCGCAGAUCAGCAUGUUGCGGUGAAUACGUUCCCGGGUCUUGUACACACCGCCCGUCAAACCAUGAGAGUCACCAACACCCGAAGUCCGCCUUGGCGGCCUAAGGUGGGGGAGAUGAUUGGGGUUAAGUCGUAACAAGGUAGC